This 72-nucleotide transfer RNA is filed under the name Pseudanabaena sp. RU_4_16. RNAcentral describes it as "tRNA-Gly". It matches the Rfam family "tRNA". Rfam says of the family: Transfer RNA (tRNA) molecules are approximately 80 nucleotides in length. Their secondary structure includes four short double-helical elements and three loops (D, anti-codon, and T loops). Further hydrogen bonds mediate the characteristic L-shaped molecular structure. tRNAs have two regions of fundamental functional importance: the anti-codon, which is responsible for specific mRNA codon recognition, and the 3' end, to which the tRNAs corresponding amino acid is attached (by aminoacyl-tRNA synthetases). tRNAs cope with the degeneracy of the genetic code in two manners: having more than one tRNA (with a specific anti-codon) for a particular amino acid; and 'wobble' base-pairing, i.e. permitting non-standard base-pairing at the 3rd anti-codon position. The record is from RNAcentral. Lineage: Bacteria; Bacillati; Cyanobacteriota; Cyanophyceae; Pseudanabaenales; Pseudanabaenaceae.
GCGGGUGUGAUGUAGCGGCUAGCAUCAGAGUUCGCCAAACUCUGCGCGUGGGUUCAAAUCCCUCCACUCGCU